GACGAACGCUGGCGGCGUGCUUAACACAUGCAAGUCGAACGGAAAGGCCCCCACCUUGGUGGGGGUGCUCGAGUGGCGAACGGGUGAGUAACACGUGGGUGAUCUGCCCUGUACUUCGGGAUAAGCUUGGGAAACUGGGUCUAAUACCGGAUAGGACCAUGGUUUAGUGUCUCAUGGUGGAAAAAUUAUUGUUUUGGUGCAGGAUGAGCUCGCGGCCUAUCAGCUUGUUGGUGGGGUAAUGGCCUACCAAGGCGUCGACGGGUAGCCGGCCUGAGAGGGUGGACGGCCACAUUGGGACUGAGAUACGGCCCAGACUCCUACGGGAGGCAGCAGUGGGGAAUAUUGCACAAUGGGCGCAAGCCUGAUGCAGCGACGCCGCGUGGGGGAUGACGGCCUUCGGGGUGUAAACUCCUUUCGUUAGGGACGAAGCCACACCUUUUUUGGGUGUGGUGACGGUACCUUUGGUAAGAAGCACCGGCUAACUACGU
RNAcentral lists this ribosomal RNA (488 nucleotides) under uncultured bacterium. RNAcentral describes it as "partial 16S ribosomal RNA". It matches the Rfam family "Bacterial small subunit ribosomal RNA", at positions 28 to 506 of the family's 1533-position model. The record is from RNAcentral.